This 901-nucleotide long non-coding RNA is filed under the name Carica papaya (papaya). RNAcentral describes it as "long non-coding RNA (CPAP_LNC015226)". Lineage: Eukaryota; Viridiplantae; Streptophyta; Magnoliopsida; Brassicales; Caricaceae. The record is from RNAcentral.
ACUGUAGAAGUGUCCCCAAAUAAACCCAAAAAUCAGACGCAGGGCCUAUUUGGCCAAUUUCGGAAUUCCGGCACGGCGGCUCAACCGUGCUCCAGUGACAGCGCCUCGGGCAGCUGAAGUUGCGUAACUUUUUUAAAUUGCAUUUUGACCUCCAGUUUCUGAUUUUUCUUUCAAAAAUACCAUCAGAACUCAAAUUUUCACCUCUUUUCCCUAAAAUUGUUUUCAAUUAAAUCCCUAACCAAUUUUCUUACCCUUUUUUAUUAUUAUUAUUAUUAUUAUUAUUAUUAUUAUUUUCAUUAAAUCAAAUUAAAAUAAAAUAAAUUAAAUUAAAAUCAUAUAAAUAAUAAUUAUAUUUAUAAAAAAUAAUAAUAAUUAAAUUAAAAUUAAAAUAAUUAAAUGUUGGGUGUUACAGCAUUCCGAGUAUCAUCAGCUGAAGAUUAAGGUUGAAGUUAUUGUUAAGAUAACCUUUUGAAAACUAAAAAGAGCGCUUAAAAAUAUAGAUGAAAAUAGUAAAGAAUUCCUUACUAAAAUCGAGUUGAUUAGUCUUUUAGAAGGGGAGAAAAAGACUUUUAGCACUCCUUGGUCAAACUCUUUAAACUCCUACUUUUUCUCCUUCUUUCUUUCUUCUUUCUCUCUAUAAAAUUUUCUCUUUCUCACUCUAAAAUCUUUGUCCAGAAAGUGAAAAUGGAAAAAGAAAUGAAGUGGGAGAAAAUGAGGAAAAGAGAGCCUUUAGAUAUGGAUGGAGAAAGCUUGAAUGUGCACUACAUGACAAGCAUCUAAGUGGGUAGUUGAGAGGUGGGUGAGGGAGUGGGUGAACAUGGGACCUGUAGGGCAUGGGGGUGGGUAUGUGGAAGAUCUUCUCCUCUAUUUGGUUUUCCUUUUCUUUAUUUUCUCUCUUUUC